RNAcentral lists this ribosomal RNA (425 nucleotides) under uncultured bacterium. RNAcentral's name for it is "partial 16S ribosomal RNA". It matches the Rfam family "Bacterial small subunit ribosomal RNA", at positions 354 to 796 of the family's 1533-position model. The record is from RNAcentral.
GUGGGGAAUCUUAGACAAUGGGCGCAAGCCUGAUCUAGCCAUGCCGCGUGAGCGAUGAAGGCCUUAGGGUUGUAAAGCUCUUUCGCUGGGGAAGAUAAUGACUGUACCCAGUAAAGAAGCCCCGGCUAACUCCGUGCCAGCAGCCGCGGUAAUACGGAGGGGGCUAGCGUUGUUCGGAAUUACUGGGCGUAAAGCGCGCGUAGGCGGAUUGGAAAGUUGGGGGUGAAAUCCCGGGGCUCAACCCCGGAACUGCCUUCAAAACUCCCAGUCUUGAGUUCGAGAGAGGUGAGUGGAAUUCCGAGUGUAGAGGUGAAAUUCGUAGAUAUUCGGAGGAACACCAGUGGCGAAGGCGGCUCACUGGCUCGAUACUGACGCUGAGGUGCGAAAGCGUGGGGAGCAAACAGGAUUAGAAACCCUAGUAGUCC